This 247-nucleotide ribosomal RNA is filed under the name uncultured bacterium. RNAcentral's name for it is "partial 16S ribosomal RNA". It matches the Rfam family "Bacterial small subunit ribosomal RNA", at positions 796 to 1041 of the family's 1533-position model. The record is from RNAcentral.
CACGCCCUAAACGAUGUCUACUAGUUGUCGGGACUUAAUUGUCUUGGUAACGCAGCUAACGCGUGAAGUAGACCGCCUGGGGAGUACGGUCGCAAGAUUAAAACUCAAAGGAAUUGACGGGGACCCGCACAAGCGGUGGAUGAUGUGGAUUAAUUCGAUGCAACGCGAAAAACCUUACCUACCCUUGACAUGGUUGGAAUCCCGAAGAGAUUUGGGAGUGCUCGCAAGAGAACCAAUACACAGGUGC